RNAcentral lists this transfer RNA (57 nucleotides) under Strongyloides ratti. RNAcentral describes it as "tRNA SRAE_M000000020". Lineage: Eukaryota; Metazoa; Nematoda; Chromadorea; Rhabditida; Strongyloididae. The record is from RNAcentral.
AUAGAUUUAAGUUAAUUUUAAACUAUUGGUCUUCAAAACCGAAAAUUUUAAUCUGUU